GAUGAACGCUGGCGGCGUGCCUAAUACAUGCAAGUCGAGCGAACGGACAGUAAGCUUUCUUCUCUGAUGUUAGCGACUGGCGGGUGGGUGACACGUGGAUCACCUACCUCUAUGACUUGGGUAACUUCGUGAGGCCGGAUCUAAUACCACCUCAUAUUUUGUACCGCAUGGUUCAAAAGUUCAUCACGGUCUUGCUGUCACUUAUAGCUGGAUCCGCGCUGCAUUAGGUAGUUGGUAAGGUAACGGCUGACCAAGGCAACGAUGCAUAUCCGACCUGAGAGGGGGAAUGGGCAAAACGGAAAUGAGAAACGGUCCAGACUCCUAAGGGAGGCAGCAGUAGGGAAACUUUCGCAAUGGGCGAAAGCCUGAAGGAGCAAAGCCGCGGGAGGGAAGAAGGGCCUCGGAUUGGAAAACUCUGUUAGUAGGGAAGAAAAUAUGGGUAAGUAACUGCGCACAUCUUGACGGUACCUAAACAGAAAGACACGGCUAACUACGUG
RNAcentral lists this ribosomal RNA (497 nucleotides) under uncultured bacterium. RNAcentral describes it as "partial 16S ribosomal RNA". It matches the Rfam family "Bacterial small subunit ribosomal RNA", at positions 28 to 507 of the family's 1533-position model. The record is from RNAcentral.